UGGGGAUAUUGCACAAUGGGGCGAAAGCCUGAUGCAGCGACGCCGCGUGAGGGAAGACGGUUUUCGGAUUGUAAACCUCUGUCUUAAGGGAAGAAAAUGACGGUACCUUAAGAGGAAGCUCCGGCUAACUACGUGCCAGCAGCCGCGGUAAUACGUAGGGAGCGAGCGUUGUCCGGAAUUACUGGGUGUAAAGGGAGCGUAGGCGGGAGCGCAAGUUAAAUGUUUAAACUAUCGGCUCAACUGAUAGUCGCGUUUAAAACUGCGUUUCUUGAGUGAAGUAGAGGCAGGCGGAAUUCCUAGUGUAGCGGUGAAAUGCGUAGAUAUUAGGAGGAACACCAGUGGCGAAGGCGGCCUGCUGGGGCUUUAACUGAC
RNAcentral lists this ribosomal RNA (372 nucleotides) under uncultured Anaerotruncus sp. RNAcentral describes it as "bacterial SSU rRNA". It matches the Rfam family "Bacterial small subunit ribosomal RNA", at positions 356 to 744 of the family's 1533-position model. Lineage: Bacteria; Bacillati; Bacillota; Clostridia; Eubacteriales; Oscillospiraceae. The record is from RNAcentral.